CAAAUACUCCCUCCGUUCGGAAUUACUCGUCCAAGAAAUGAAUAUAUCUAGAUGUAUUUUAGUUGUAAAUACAUUCAUUUUUGUGACAAGUAAUUCCGAACGAAGGGAGUACUUG
This is a non-coding RNA of Triticum urartu, 115 nucleotides long. NCBI's taxonomy places the organism in Eukaryota, Viridiplantae, Streptophyta, Magnoliopsida, Poales, Poaceae. The record is from Rfam.